GUUCGGCAGAGGCCGCUCGGCAGGGGCAGGAGGCCCAGCGCCACGAAGGGGGCGGAACCAACCGAGCGGCGGCUGCUCCCCGCGGGCCCCGCUCUCGCUUCUCCUUCGCCGGGAAACGCGGCCCGGCCGCCCCGCGGCUCCCCUCUUCCUGCUCCUCGGCAGAGGCCGGCGGGCACCGAGCGCGGCCCCGAAACGCGCCGGCCCCCCUCAGCCGCAGAGCGAAGCAGAACGGACGAGCGAACGAGCGAGCGAGCAGGAAUUAGAGGAAACCAAAGUGAACAGGUAUUCAUUAGAUCUGAGAAUAAAAUUUCCUCUGACAUAUCAGGUGGAGCAGGAAAGGAAAGACAUAGUUCAUAACUCUGCCUCUAUGACACCAACAAGCAGAGCUUCGUCUUCCAGAAGGCAUCUUGGUGCAGUCAACAAGUACCAGCUGUGUCACCGCGGUCUCUGCAUGAGCAAACAAUUACAGGACAGAGCCACACCUGGAUUUGUGCCUGCAAGUGAGGAUUUUCCACUACAGAGAUCAGAUUUUUGAUAACUUGAUGGAUUAUUAAAAAUUACUUCACUGGAGAAGGGAAGGCUGAGAGAAGACUUCAUUGCAACCUCCCAGUAUUUAAAAGCUGUUGGAAGUGAUGGUGGGGCUGCUGCGCAGCAGCUCAUGGCAUAUGAACAUGGCAAAGACUUGGGUACCAGACCAGCCAACUGUCCAGGUCUCUGGGCACAUCUGCAGAGGUGUGGUGGGUCUGAGGCCAAGCAGGAAGCAAGAUCAGUGGAUCGGGAUCAUGCCUGAUAGCAGCUAAGGACAGCCACCAUCUGCUGGUCUUACCAGGAAAUCAUGAUCUGAAUGGAUGAGCAGCCAGAGCAGUGAAGAACUGUUUGGAUGACUAGUUUGAG
RNAcentral lists this long non-coding RNA (894 nucleotides) under Gallus gallus (chicken). Its description in RNAcentral is "lncRNA (ENSGALG00010001058.1)". The record is from RNAcentral. Lineage: Eukaryota; Metazoa; Chordata; Aves; Galliformes; Phasianidae.